AUUGAACGCUGGCGGCAGGCCUAACACAUGCAAGUCGAACGGUAACAGGAAACAGCUUGCUGUUUCGCUGACGAGUGGCGGACGGGUGAGUAAUGUCUGGGAAACUGCCUGAUGGAGGGGGAUAACUACUGGAAACGGUAGCUAAUACCGCAUAACGUCGCAAGACCAAAGAGGGGAACCUCGGGCCUCUUGCCAUCGGAUGUGCCCAGAUGGGAUUAGCUUGUUGGUGGGGUAACGGCUCACCAAGGCGACGAUCCCUAGCUGGUCUGAGAGGAUGACCAGCCACACUGGAACUGAGACACGGUCCAGACUCCUACGGGAGGCAGCAGUGGGGAAUAUUGCACAAUGGGCGCAAGCCUGAUGCAGCCAUGCCGCGUGUAUGAAGAAGGCCUUCGGGUUGUAAAGUACUUUCAGCGGGGAGGAAGGGAGUAAAGUUAAUACCUUUGCUCAUUGACGUUACCCGCAGAAGAAGCACCGGCUAACUCCGUG
This 489-nucleotide ribosomal RNA is filed under the name uncultured bacterium. RNAcentral's name for it is "partial 16S ribosomal RNA". It matches the Rfam family "Bacterial small subunit ribosomal RNA", at positions 30 to 507 of the family's 1533-position model. The record is from RNAcentral.